GAUGAACGCUAGCGACAGGCUUAACACAUGCAAGUCGAGGGGCAGCGAGAAAGUGCUUGCACUUUUGUCGGCGACCGGCGCACGGGUGAGUAACGCGUAUCCAACCUUCCCCUUACUCAGGAAUAGCCCGUUGAAAGACGGAUUAAUGCCUGAUGUUCUCUAUUUCCGGCAUCGGUAAUAGAGCAAAGAUUCAUCGGUAAGGGAUGGGGAUGCGUAUGAUUAGCUUGUUGGCGGGGUAACGGCCCACCAAGGCAACGAUCAUUAGGGGUUCUGAGAGGAAGGUCCCCCACACUGGAACUGAGACACGGUCCAGACUCCUACGGGAGGCAGCAGUGAGGAAUAUUGGUCAAUGGUCUGACGACUGAACCAGCCAUGCCGCGUGAAGGUGACGGCCCUAUGGGUCUUAAACUCUUUNUAAGGGAGCAAUAAGUUCUAACGUGUAGAGCGAUGAGAGUACCUUACGAAUAAGCAUCGGCUAACUCCGUGCCAGCAG
Molecule: ribosomal RNA, 493 nt
Filed under: uncultured bacterium
Lineage: Bacteria
Description: bacterial SSU rRNA
Rfam family: Bacterial small subunit ribosomal RNA
Source: RNAcentral